RNAcentral lists this ribosomal RNA (466 nucleotides) under uncultured bacterium. RNAcentral describes it as "partial 16S ribosomal RNA". It matches the Rfam family "Bacterial small subunit ribosomal RNA", at positions 27 to 507 of the family's 1533-position model. The record is from RNAcentral.
GGAUGAACGCUGGCGGCGUGCUUAACACAUGCAAGUCGAACGGAAAGGCUCCUGCUUGCAGGGGUACUCGAGUGGCGAACGGGUGAGUAACACGUGGGUGAUCUGCCCUGCACUUCGGGAUAAGCCUGGGAAACUGGGUCUAAUACCGGAUAGGACCACAUUUUGGAUGGUGUGGUGGAAAGUUUUUCGGUGUGGGAUGAGCUCGCGGCCUAUCAGCUUGUUGGUGGGGUAAUGGCCUACCAAGGCGUCGACGGGUAGCCGGCCUGAGAGGGUGUACGGCCACAUUGGGACUGAGAUACGGCCCAGACUCCUACGGGAGGCAGCAGUGGGGAAUAUUGCACAAUGGGCGCAAGCCUGAUGCAGCGACGCCGCGUGGGGGAUGACGGCCUUCGGGUUGUAAACUCCUUUCGCUAGGGACGAAGCGCAAGUGACGGUACCUGGAGAAGAAGCACCGGCUAACUACGUG